GUUUGAGCGCUUCACAGAGAAGGCUAUCAAAGUUAUCAUGCUUGCACAAGAAGAAGCUAGACGCUUAGGCCACAAUUUCGUCGGAACAGAGCAAAUACUGCUGGGGCUUAUAGGCGAAGGAACAGGAAUUGCUGCUAAAGUUCUAAAAUCCAUGGGUAUCAAUCUCAAGGAUGCCAGAGUAGAAGUGGAAAAGAUCAUUGGAAGGGGCAGUGGAUUUGUUGCCGUUGAGAUACCAUUUACGCCACGUGCAAAACGUGUUCUGGAGCUCUCGCUGGAGGAAGCCCGCCAACUAGGUCAUAAUUAUAUAGGAUCUGAGCACUUACUUCUUGGAUUACUUCGUGAGGGUGAAGGUGUAGCAGCUCGUGUGCUUGAGAACCUUGGAGCUGAUCCAAGCAACAUCCGUACACAAG
Molecule: unclassified non-coding RNA, 410 nt
Filed under: Hevea brasiliensis (rubber tree)
Lineage: Eukaryota; Viridiplantae; Streptophyta; Magnoliopsida; Malpighiales; Euphorbiaceae
Source: RNAcentral